RNAcentral lists this transfer RNA (71 nucleotides) under Acanthamoeba castellanii. RNAcentral describes it as "tRNA-Glu". It matches the Rfam family "tRNA". From Rfam's summary of the family: Transfer RNA (tRNA) molecules are approximately 80 nucleotides in length. RNAcentral also lists the same sequence under 2 other names. Lineage: Eukaryota; Discosea; Longamoebia; Acanthamoebidae. The record is from RNAcentral.
AAACCCUUCGUCUAAUGGUAGGACGUUAACCUUUCACGUUAAGAAUAUGAGUUCGAUUCUCAUAGGGUUCA